GACGAACGCUGGCGGCGUGCUUAACACAUGCAAGUCGAACGGAAAGGCCCUGCUUUUGUGGGGUGCUCGAGUGGCGAACGGGUGAGUAACACGUGAGUAACCUGCCCUUGACUUUGGGAUAACUUCAGGAAACUGGGGCUAAUACCGGAUAUGAUCUCCUGCUGCAUGGUGGGGGUUGGAAAGUUUCGGCGGUGGGGGCUGGACUCGCUGCUUAUCCGCUUGUUGGUGGGGUAGUGGCUUUCCAAGGCUUUGACGGGUAGCCGGCCUGGGAGGGUGACCGGCCACAUUGGGACUGAGAUACGGCCCAGACUCCUACGGGCGGCAGCAGUGGGGAAUAGUGCACAAUGGGCGGAAGCCUGAUGCAGCAACGCCGCGUGCGGGAUGACGGCCUUCGGGUUGUAAACCGCUUUCGCCUGUGACGAAGCGUGAGUGACGGUAAUGGGUAAAGAAGCACCGGCUAACUACGUG
RNAcentral lists this ribosomal RNA (468 nucleotides) under uncultured bacterium. Its description in RNAcentral is "partial 16S ribosomal RNA". It matches the Rfam family "Bacterial small subunit ribosomal RNA", at positions 28 to 507 of the family's 1533-position model. The record is from RNAcentral.